GAAGGAAUGGCCGAGAGGUUAAAGGCGGUAGAUUGUAAAUCUAUUAGUUUGUCUAUCGUAGGUUCGAAUCCUACUUCCUUC
RNAcentral lists this transfer RNA (81 nucleotides) under Dictyota dichotoma. RNAcentral describes it as "tRNA-Tyr". It matches the Rfam family "tRNA". From Rfam's summary of the family: Transfer RNA (tRNA) molecules are approximately 80 nucleotides in length. Their secondary structure includes four short double-helical elements and three loops (D, anti-codon, and T loops). Lineage: Eukaryota; Phaeophyceae; Dictyotales; Dictyotaceae. The record is from RNAcentral.